This 787-nucleotide ribosomal RNA is filed under the name uncultured soil bacterium. RNAcentral's name for it is "bacterial SSU rRNA". It matches the Rfam family "Bacterial small subunit ribosomal RNA", at positions 8 to 796 of the family's 1533-position model. The record is from RNAcentral.
AGAGUUUGAUCCUGGCUCAGGACAAACGCUGGCGGCGUGCCUAAUACAUGCAAGUCGAACGGUCUUCCUUAGGGAAGAUAGUGGCGGACGGGUGAGUAACACGUAGUUGACCUGCCCUUUGGUGGGGAAUAACUCCUCGAAAGAGGAGCUAAUACCGCAUAAGCUCUUCAUCGCUGGGUGGAGAGGAAAUCUCAUGAGUAAUUGUGGGAGCUGAAGGAGGGGACUGCGGCGGAUUAGCUAGAUGGUGGGGUAAAGGCCUACCAUGGCGACGAUCCGUAGCUGGUCUGAGAGGACGAUCAGCCACACUGGGACUGAGACACGGCCCAGACUCCUACGGGAGGCAGCAGUAAGGAAUAUUCCACAAUGGGCGAAAGCCUGAUGGAGCGACGCCGCGUGAGGGAUGAAGCUUUUCGGAGUGUAAACCUCUUUUCUUUGGGAUGACACUCCCCUUCGGGGGAUACGACAGUACCAGAGGAAUAAGCAUCGGCUAACUACGUGCCAGCAGCCGCGGUAAUACGUAGGAUGCAAGCGUUGUCCGGAUUUACUGGGCGUAAAGCGCGCGCAGGUGGCAUGGCAAGUAAGGUGUGAAAUCUCCCUGCUCAACGGGGAGGGAGCGCUUUAGACUGCCAAGCUAGAGGACGGUAGAGGGGGGUGGAAUUGCUGGUGUAGCGGUGAAAUGCGUAGAGAUCAGCAGGAACACCCGUGGCGAAGGCGGCCCCCUGGGCCGUACCUGACGCUGAGGCGCGAAGGCUAGGGGAGCGAACGGGAUUAGAUACCCCAGUAGUCC